This is a long non-coding RNA of Homarus americanus (American lobster), 1393 nucleotides long. RefSeq lists it as uncharacterized. Lineage: Eukaryota; Metazoa; Arthropoda; Malacostraca; Decapoda; Nephropidae. The record is from RefSeq and is a predicted model, not a curated record. The transcript has 3 exons.
UGCCAGAGGUCGCCAGGAUGGAGGUCCCUGUAAGGCCUCCUCGCUGUUGAUGAUCUCAGUGUGGUGGUAGAGGACGUGGUUAUUAGACGGGCGGAUAGAAGCAACAUUUCUCAGUGGAUGAGUGUUUCGUUUAAUGUUUAGUGGUGAUAAUAUUGAAGAUAGAUAAUUAUUUGUGUUUAGAGAAGAAGACAUAUGUUGUUGUGGUGUUUUUGUGACUUUGUUUAUACUGCUUUAGGUGGAAGAUUUUUAAUAAAACGUACAUUUAGCAUCUUGGACUACCAUACACUACUGUUAUCAUGAUUGUUUCGACAUAUGCAACUGGCAAUAAGUGGCCACAACGACUGCAAUAACCCUGCAAUAUCCUCCGGCAGUUGUACCUUUCUCCUCCUGCCACACCUUCAUCUCCUCCUUCUGUUCGUUCGUUCGUUCUCUCUGCAGCACCACCACUACUCGGCACACUUCGUUAUCGUCAUCUUCGUUACCCGUGUCUUCGUUAUCUGUGAGCUGCUACAGACGUUACUAUAAGCCUGAAGGGAGGUGUUUGUACCGGACCACAAACUCAUUGGUUCCUCAGUGUUAAUACAGUCAGUUGUUGGGUGAAAGACUGAAAUAGACUGACUUUAGUGGAUAGUUGAAGUAUUUUUGAUUUUGUAUUACUUUACGAGUGAUUGUCAGAAAGAAUUGGUUAACAUAUAAACAGUAACUGUUGAUGUGUGUUAAACUAAACGAAAUAUUGAAUAACUGUGAAGGUUGAGUGUGAGACGGUGAUGGACACAAGCCUACAGUCAGCCAGCGACCUGUACAGCAGAGAGCAGGUCAUGGCCUACCCUCUACCAGACUGACACCUUCAUCACUCAGCCUCCCUCACUAACCUGACAACAAUAUGGGACAACACUAAUAAAACAAAUGUUGUACUGAAGAAAAACUCAGUUGUGUUGUCAGUCUCAAGUCACCUCUAGUGUUGUUUAAACGUGUGUACUGUUAAGCCCUUGUGUUUAUGGCGGCUCCUGACUCACACUGCUCAAAUAUUAUUCAGACGUGAAUUACUAAACACGACGACAAACUUUAAAAACAAUUGCAAGACAGAAAUAACACCUUGCUUCACCAGACACACUCCCCACAAGUAAGAGAUCUGGCCCACCAGUUGUCCUUCGUCGUGAAGAUAAAGUCAAUUAUACAAUUCUUCCUGAGACUCGUGAAGCCUCCUUAACUUCUACCAAGAUGGGGGACUCCAGCCGGGCCAGCACGCCCUCCUCCUCCAACGCCAACACCAACACCCGGCCCACCACCCCCAGGGAGGAGAGACACCAGCUUAAGACGUUGAACAUUCCGGGCAGCAAGCCGUUGCCUUGUGCAAGUUUGGUCGUUAUCAACCCUAAAGGAAAGGUGAGCG